AGCGGCUAACCCACACAAGCCGGCUAUCCCCACCAUCGUACUGGCUAACGUACGCUCUUUGGACAAUAAACUGGACUACAUCCGACUACUACGCUCAACUCAGAGGACUGUAAGAGACUGUUGUGUUUUUGUGUUCACGGAAACAUGGCUCAACAACAGCGUUCCGGACUGCGCUAUUCAUCUCGAUCAGCUGACAUGCUAUCGAGCGGACAGAGCUCGCGUCGAGGGAGGUAAGACCCGCGGCGGAGGGCUUUGUGUUUACAUCAAUGAUGCGUGGUGCCGCGAUGCUGUUGUGGUCUGCAAACACUGCUCACCCCUGGUGGAGUUUAUGAUUAUUAAGUGCCGGCCGUUCUAUCUACCGAGGGAAUAUACAGCCAUACUGCUCGUUGCUAUAUACAUCCCUCCCAGCUCCAACAACAGCAACAGGAGCGAGGCACUAAAUGAACUGUACCAGCACAUCAGUGAGCAGCAGACAGCCCACCCUGAUGCUUUUCUCAUCUUGGCUGGGGAUUUCAACCACGCAGACUUAAAGAGUGUGUUCCCAAAAAUACACCAACACAUAGACUUCCCAACACGGGGAAACAACACUCUGGACUUUGUUUACACCACACAGAGAGGAGCAGACAAGGCCCUUCCCCUCCCCCACCUCGGUGCCUCAGACCACAUCACUGUCAUGCUAAUGCCUGCAUACAGACCGCUCGUUAAAGUCACCAAACCAGUUCAUAAACAGAUACAAGUGUGGCCGGAAGGGUCGUCAGAGGCUCUUCAAGACUGUUUUAACACCACUGACUGGAAUAUGUUUAAGCAGCCUGCCACAUACAAUAACACCACAGACCUCCAGGAGUACUCAGAGACUGUCACUGCCUACAUCACCAAGUGCAUUGAUGAUGUAACAGUCACAAAGACCAUCACUGUCCGGGCCAACCAGAAGCCGUGGCUAACAGGGGAGGUCUACGGACUCCUGAAGACGCGGAACGCUGCCUUCAGAGCUGGAGAUGAGGUGGGCCUGAAGACAGCUAGGGCCAACCUAUCCCGCGGCAUCAGAGAGGCUAAGAGACAGUACUCCAGGAGGAUAGCCCAUAAUUUCAGCAACAGCAGAGACACUCGGAGCCUGUGGCAGGGGAUACAGACCAUUACAGACUACAAG
RNAcentral lists this long non-coding RNA (1147 nucleotides) under Sinocyclocheilus grahami. RNAcentral's name for it is "lncRNA (ENSSGRG00000010283.1)". Lineage: Eukaryota; Metazoa; Chordata; Actinopteri; Cypriniformes; Cyprinidae. The record is from RNAcentral.